Molecule: small nuclear RNA, 102 nt
Organism: Nannospalax galili (Upper Galilee mountains blind mole rat)
Lineage: Eukaryota; Metazoa; Chordata; Mammalia; Rodentia; Spalacidae
Source: Ensembl
GCUCCCUUUAGCAAAACAUGUACUAAAAUUGGAAAGCUAAAGAGAUUAGGAUGGCCCCUGCGCAAGAAUGAAAUGCAAAUUCAUGAAUCAGUCUAUAUUUUU